GUGCUCACUUUGGCAGCACACAUACUAAAAUUGGAAUGAUACAGAGAAGAUUAGCAUGGCCCCAGUACAAGGAUGACAUGCAAAUUUGUGAAGCAUUCCAUAUUUUU
Molecule: small nuclear RNA, 107 nt
Filed under: Spermophilus dauricus (Daurian ground squirrel)
Lineage: Eukaryota; Metazoa; Chordata; Mammalia; Rodentia; Sciuridae
Source: RNAcentral